This is a long non-coding RNA of Quercus lobata, 221 nucleotides long. RefSeq lists it as uncharacterized. The record is from RefSeq and is a predicted model, not a curated record. NCBI's taxonomy places the organism in Eukaryota, Viridiplantae, Streptophyta, Magnoliopsida, Fagales, Fagaceae. The transcript has 2 exons.
GGCGAGGCAGAGAAGGUGAGGCAGAGUGUGAGGCGGAGAGGGCGAGGCAGAGAAGGCGAGGCAGAGUGUGAGGCGGAGAGGGCGAGCGGCGACUGGCGAGGCAGUGAGGCGGAGAGAGUGAGGCGGAGAGGGCGAGGUCUGAGCGGCGAGGCAGAGAGGCUGUGAGCGGUGAGGAAGAGAGGCUGUGAGCUUGGGUGAGGCGGAGAUGUUGAGAUUUGAGA